Molecule: ribosomal RNA, 240 nt
Filed under: uncultured bacterium
Lineage: Bacteria
Description: partial 16S ribosomal RNA
Rfam family: Bacterial small subunit ribosomal RNA
Source: RNAcentral
ACCGGCGAACGGGUGCGUAACACGUGAGCGACCUUCCGUCUUCUGGGGGAUAGCCGGCCCAACGGCCGGGUAAUACCGCAUACGCUCUUUGGGCUGCAUGGCCUGGGGAGGAAACUUCCGGGGGAGGACGAGGGGCUCGCGGCCUAUCAGCUAGUUGGUGCGGUAACGGCGCACCAAGGCGACGACGGGUAGCUGGUCUGAGAGGAUGGCCAGCCACAUUGGGACUGAGAGACGGCCCAG